GGUGCUAUCAUGCAGUCGAACGCUUCUUUCCUCCCGAGUGCUUGCACUCAAUUGGAAAGAGGAGUGGCGGACGGGUGAGUAACACGUGGGUAACCUACCCAUCAGAGGGGGAUAACACUUGGAAACAGGUGCUAAUACCGCAUAACAGUUUAUGCCGCAUGGCAUAAGAGUGAAAGGCGCUUUCGGGUGUCGCUGAUGGAUGGACCCGCGGUGCAUUAGCUAGUUGGUGAGGUAACGGCUCACCAAGGCCACGAUGCAUAGCCGACCUGAGAGGGUGAUCGGCCACACUGGGACUGAGACACGGCCCAGACUCCUACGGGAGGCAGCAGUAGGGAAUCUUCGGCAAUGGACGAAAGUCUGACCGAGCAACGCCGCGUGAGUGAAGAAGGUUUUCGGAUCGUAAAACUCUGUUGUUAGAGAAGAACAAGGACGUUAGUAACUGAACGUCCCCUGACGGUAUCUAACCAGAAAGCCACGGCUAACUACGUGCCAGCAGCCGC
Molecule: ribosomal RNA, 500 nt
Filed under: uncultured bacterium
Lineage: Bacteria
Description: bacterial SSU rRNA
Rfam family: Bacterial small subunit ribosomal RNA
Source: RNAcentral